AGUCGAGCGGGAAGCCCUUGGGGCAGUCAGCGGCGGACGGGUGAGAAACGCGUAAGAAUCUGCCCUUCAGUGAAGAAUACCUCCGAGAAAUCGGAGUUAAUACUGCAUUCGUCCCUACGGGGAGAAAGAUGGCCUCUUUGCUGUCGCUGAUGGAUGAGCUUGCGUACUAUUAGCUAGUUGGUGGGGUAAAGGCCUACCAAGGCGAUGAUGGUUAACCGGCCUGAGAGGGUGUUCGGUCACAUUGGAACUGAGACACGGUCCAGACUCCUACGGGAGGCAGCAGUGGGGAAUAUUGCGCAAUGGGCGAAAGCCUGACGCAGCGACGCCGCGUGGAGGAUGAAGGUCUUAGGAUUGUAAACUUCUGUUAAGUGGGAAAAAAGACUCGUUCCUAAUACGAACGAGGGAUGAUGGUACCACUAGAGAAAGCACCGGCUAAUCUCGUGCCAGCAGCCGCGGUAAUACGAGAGGUGCGAGCGUUAUUCGGAUUUAUUGGGUGUAAAGGGUGCGUAGACGGCGCGUUAAGUUUGUUGUUAAAUCCUCCGGCUCAACCGGAGAUAUGCGGCAAAUACUGGCGUGCUAGAGGAUGGAAGAGAGAAGUGGAAUUCUUGGAGUAGCGGUAAAAUGCGUAGAUCUCAAGAGGAACACCGAUGGCGAAGGCAGCUUCUUGGUCCAUUCCUGACGUUGAGGCACGAA
RNAcentral lists this ribosomal RNA (693 nucleotides) under uncultured bacterium. Its description in RNAcentral is "bacterial SSU rRNA". It matches the Rfam family "Bacterial small subunit ribosomal RNA", at positions 60 to 757 of the family's 1533-position model. The record is from RNAcentral.